AACUGUGGUCUUACUGAAUCCACAGUAAGUCAUUAUGUCUGUGAUCUAUCUAUGACAGGAAAAGUUGUAAAUCGCAGUGCAGCUUAGUUGACCACCAUUUGCUGCUCUGUAAUGAUUUUGAAGCAUGCUUGUCAGACGUUGGGAUCCUAGGUAGCGGUGCUACCUGCAAGUACCUGAAGCUAACUGCAAUCCUUGAUCAAAAGGUCUUAUGCAUGCUUAAGUAAGGUAGAAAAUUUCAAGAACUCCCUUUUCAAAUGCCGAAACUCCGUUUUCAAAUGCCAGAACUCCAUUUUCAAAUGCAAAAACUCCGUUUUCAAAUGCAAAAACUCCAUUUUCAAUUGCCAAAACUCCAUUUUCAAUUGCCAAAACUCCAUUUUCAGAUGCCAAAACUCCAUUUUCAAAAGCCAAAACUCCAUUUUCAA
This is a non-coding RNA of Paramuricea clavata, 422 nucleotides long. The record is from the annotation of a GenBank genome assembly. Lineage: Eukaryota; Metazoa; Cnidaria; Anthozoa; Malacalcyonacea; Plexauridae.